AUGUUGAGACAUAAAGAGGGAUGUUUGUCCAGACAGUAAAUAAACUUCCUGUUUCCUCCUGUGCUGGGACAAACUUCCUCUACAUGUGACCAGAGGUGGGCGUGACCUUACCUGUGCAGGUAACAAAAUAGCACAGGGCAGGCAGGCAUCUCUCUCUCUGACUCCAUUCCUCAAAGAAGCAACAUCUCCUUAGCCUGAGAUGCUCUCUUGGCUUCCAGCCAAGAGAGGACAAAGGAACUAUCUCCUUAUGGGAUAGAUUCCAUGUGUAUAUAUUUUGUAACUUAAGUCUGCCUUCUGGGAUCCAUUUGUGAACAGAAUGUCGGCAAGAGUAUUGUUGGCUCAGAAAUGGAAACAAGAAGAAAUACCGACGAAAGAAGAAUGGCAGACAAAAUUCAUGGACUACGCAGAAUUGGAUAAAAUGACAGGAAGGGUUUGAAACCUGUGGAACCAGAGAUUUACAAAAGAUUGGAAGAAAUAUACAAACUAUUUGAACAGCAACUGUAAUCAGCAAAUUACGCUACAAGAAGUUCUGUAAGGAGAAAUAUAUGAAAUAUUGCAAAGAAGAGAAAGAAGAGAGAUAUUAGUUAUGAGAUUUAAAUGUAAUAAUGAAAAUAAGAAAUGUAAAUCAAAUAAAUAGAUUGGAAAAUU
This is a long non-coding RNA of Podarcis raffonei (Aeolian wall lizard), 648 nucleotides long. RefSeq lists it as uncharacterized. Lineage: Eukaryota; Metazoa; Chordata; Lepidosauria; Squamata; Lacertidae. The transcript has 2 exons. The record is from RefSeq and is a predicted model, not a curated record.